CGGAAGACCAAGGGUUCCUGUCCAACGUUAAUCGGGGCAGGGUGAGUCGACCCCUAAGGCGAGGCCGAAAGGCGUAGUCGAUGGGAAACGGGUUAAUAUUCCCGUACUUGGUGUUACUGCGAAGGGGGGACGGAGAAGGCUAUGUUGGCCGGGCGACGGUUGUCCCGGUUUAAGCGUGUAGGUGUGUGUUCCAGGUAAAUCCGGUUCACUUUAACACUGAGGCGUGAUGACGAGGCACUACGGUGCUGAAGCAACAAAUGCCCUGCUUCCAGGAAAAGCCUCUAAGCAUCAGGUAACAUCAAAUCGUACCCCAAACCGACACAGGUGGUCAGGUAGAGAAUACCAAGGCGCUUGAGAGAACUCGGGUGAAGGAACUAGGCAAAAUGGUGCCGUAACUUCGGGAGAAGGCACGCUGACACGUAGGUGAAGUGAUUUACUCACGGAGCUGAAGUCAGUCGAAGAUACCAGCUGGCUGCAACUGUUUAUUAAAAACACAGCACUGUGCAAACACGAAAGUGGACGUAUACGGUGUGACGCCUGCCCGGUGCCGGAAGGUUAAUUGAUGGGGUCAGCGCAAGCGAAGCUCCUGAUCGAAGCCCCGGUAAACGGCGGCCGUAACUAUAACGGUCCUAAGGUAGCGAAAUUCCUUGUCGGGUAAGUUCCGACCUGCACGAAUGGCGUAAUGAUGGCCAGGCUGUCUCCACCCGAGACUCAGUGAAAUUGAACUCGCUGUGAAGAUGCAGUGUACCCGCGGCAAGACGGAAAGACCCCGUGAACCUUUACUAUAGCUUGACACUGAACAUUGAGCCUUGAUGUGUAGGAUAGGUGGGAGGCUUUGAAGUGUGGACGCCAGUCUGCAUGGAGCCGACCUUGAAAUACCACCCUUUAAUGUUUGAUGUUCUAACGUGGACCCGUAAUCCGGGUUGCGGACAGUGUCUGGUGGGUAGUUUGACUGGGGCGGUCUCCUCCUAAAGAGUAACGGAGGAGCACGAAGGUUGGCUAAUCCUGGUCGGACAUCAGGAGGUUAGUGCAAUGGCAUAAGCCAGCUUGACUGCGAGCGUGACGGCGCGAGCAGGUGCGAAAGCAGGUCAUAGUGAUCCGGUGGUUCUGAAUGGAAGGGCCAUCGCUCAACGGAUAAAAGGUACUCCGGGGAUAACAGGCUGAUACCGCCCAAGAGUUCAUAUCGACGGCGGUGUUUGGCACCUCGAUGUCGGCUCAUCACAUCCUGGGGCUGAAGUAGGUCCCAAGGGUAUGGCUGUUCGCCAUUUAAAGUGGUACGCGAGCUGGGUUUAGAACGUCGUGAGACAGUUCGGUCCCUAUCUGCCGUGGGCGCUGGAGAACUGAGGGGGGCUGCUCCUAGUACGAGAGGACCGGAGUGGACGCAUCACUGGUGUUCGGGUUGUCAUGCCAAUGGCACUGCCCGGUAGCUAAAUGCGGAAGAGAUAAGUGCUGAAAGCAUCUAAGCACGAAACUUGCCCCGA
This 1481-nucleotide ribosomal RNA is filed under the name Salmonella enterica. Its description in RNAcentral is "partial 23S ribosomal RNA". It matches the Rfam family "Bacterial large subunit ribosomal RNA", at positions 1338 to 2802 of the family's 2925-position model. RNAcentral also lists the same sequence under 1 other name. Lineage: Bacteria; Pseudomonadati; Pseudomonadota; Gammaproteobacteria; Enterobacterales; Enterobacteriaceae. The record is from RNAcentral.